CGCGGGGUAGAGCAGUUUGGUAGCUCGCAAGGCUCAUAACCUUGAGGUCACGGGUUCAAAUCCUGUCCCCGCCU
This 74-nucleotide transfer RNA is filed under the name Neobartsia inaequalis. RNAcentral's name for it is "tRNA-Met". It matches the Rfam family "tRNA". Rfam says of the family: Transfer RNA (tRNA) molecules are approximately 80 nucleotides in length. Lineage: Eukaryota; Viridiplantae; Streptophyta; Magnoliopsida; Lamiales; Orobanchaceae. The record is from RNAcentral. RNAcentral also lists the same sequence under 1 other name.